GGAUGUGAGGACCAUCUGGCUGUGACAUCUGUCACCCCAUUGAUCACCAGGGUUGAUUCGGCUGAUCUGGCUGACUAGGCGGGUGUCCCUUCCUCCCUCACUGCUCCAUGUAGUUCCCUCCUGAAGCUGCAUGCUCGGUCAAAGAGGACAACCUUCCCAAGUAGAGGAGGAGCGGUCUUCAGGCAAGGGUACACGAGGAGCUGCGCUCCCCUGCUGGAACCUCCAAACAAGCUCUCAAGAAACCUUGUGGAGGUGCUGGAUAUGUCUUGAUUGUGGCACUCUGUGAAUAUGUUCAAACUCAUGGAAUUUAUACCUUA
Molecule: small nuclear RNA, 317 nt
Filed under: Jaculus jaculus (lesser Egyptian jerboa)
Lineage: Eukaryota; Metazoa; Chordata; Mammalia; Rodentia; Dipodidae
Description: 7SK RNA (ENSJJAG00000006745.1)
Rfam family: 7SK RNA (bases 1-274)
About the family: 7SK was discovered as an abundant small nuclear RNA in the mid-70s but a possible function has only recently been suggested. Two independent studies have found that 7SK RNA binds the CDK9/cyclin T complex (known as elongation factor P-TEFb).
Source: Rfam by way of RNAcentral